Molecule: long non-coding RNA, 452 nt
Filed under: Rattus norvegicus (Norway rat)
Lineage: Eukaryota; Metazoa; Chordata; Mammalia; Rodentia; Muridae
Description: long non-coding RNA NONRATT006566
Source: RNAcentral
CACUGUACUCACUGUGGCGGGACUCUAUCACAGUUCAUUAGACUGCGUACCAAGAUAUGGCUCCAUACUAAUUUUAGGUUUGGCCAUAGUAGCUCUAGGAGAAUUAUUUGGACUAAUUUACAUGAAAUGCUUUGACCCACUGAUUGAAUUUCAAUAAGACUUGAAAGCACAGGCUGCGUCGUCUUUCUUCCCUACUUUGUCUCAGUAGCUCACAAGGAAUCCUAAAUUCAACAAUUUCUAGUCCCGAGCAGUUUGCCAGAUGUGCCAAGCAUCAUUGGGUCACCUCGCUUUUCUCAUCACUUGCAGCCAACUGAUCGUUCUCCAAGGAUACUGUUUUCUCUAAGCCAGUGCGGACUAGAAUGCUGGGUGAAGGCUAGUUUGUAGUCUUAUUGCUUUGUAAAAAAUGUCAAUUCAUUGAUUGUAACAGAAAACAAUAAAAACAUUAAAAUAAA